This 468-nucleotide ribosomal RNA is filed under the name uncultured bacterium. RNAcentral's name for it is "partial 16S ribosomal RNA". It matches the Rfam family "Bacterial small subunit ribosomal RNA", at positions 28 to 507 of the family's 1533-position model. The record is from RNAcentral.
GACGAACGCUGGCGGCGUGCUUAACACAUGCAAGUCGAACGGAAAGGCCCUGCUUUUGUGGGGUGCUCGAGUGGAGAACGGGUGAGUAACACGUGAGUUCCCUGCCCUUGACUUUGGGAUAACUUCAGGCAACUGGGGCUAAUACGGGAUAGGAGCUCCUGCUGCUUGGUGGGGGUUGGAAAGUUUCGGCGGUUGGGGAUGGACUCGCGGCUUAUCAGGUUGUUGGUGGGGUAGUGGCUUACCAAGGCUUGGACGGGUAGCCGGCCUGAGAGGAGGACCGGCCACAUUGCGACGGAGAUACGGCCCGGACUCCAACGGGAGGCAGCGGUGGAGAAUAUUACACAAGGGGCGGAAGCCUGAUGCAGCAACGCCGCGUGCGGUAUGACGGCCUGCGGGUUGUAAACCGCUUUCGCCUGUGACGAAGCGUUAGUGACGGUAAUGAGUAAAUAAGCACCGGCUAACUACGUG